CCUACGGGUGGCAGCAGUGAGGAAUAUUGGUCAAUGGGCGUAAGCCUGAACCAGCCAAGUCGCGUGAGGGAUGAAGGUUCUAUGGAUCGUAAACCUCUUUUAUAAGGGAAUAAAGUGUGGGACGUGUCCUAUUUUGUAUGUACCUUAUGAAUAAGGAUCGGCUAACUCCGUGCCAGCAGCCGCGGUCAUACGUAGGAUCCGAGCAUUAUCCGGAGUGACUGGGUGUAAAGAGUUGCGUAGGUGGCAUAAUAAGUAGCUAGUGAAAUCUGGUGGCUCAACCAUUCAGACUAUUAGCUAAACUGUUAAGCUCGAGACCGUUAGGGGUAACUGGAAUUUCUAGUGUAGGAGUGAAAUCCGUAGAUAUUAGAAGGAACACCAAUAGCGUAGGCAGGUUGCUGGGACGGUUCUGACACUAAGGCACGAAAGCGUAGGGAGCAAACGGGAUUAGAUACCCCGGUAGUC
Molecule: ribosomal RNA, 462 nt
Filed under: uncultured bacterium
Lineage: Bacteria
Description: partial 16S ribosomal RNA
Rfam family: Bacterial small subunit ribosomal RNA
Source: RNAcentral